RNAcentral lists this ribosomal RNA (902 nucleotides) under Eleutheromyces subulatus. Its description in RNAcentral is "LSU rRNA". It matches the Rfam family "Eukaryotic large subunit ribosomal RNA", at positions 38 to 957 of the family's 3401-position model. The record is from RNAcentral. Lineage: Eukaryota; Fungi; Ascomycota; Leotiomycetes; Phacidiales; Helicogoniaceae.
GCAUAUCAUAAGCGGAGGAAAAGAAACCCAACAGGGAUUACCUCAGUAACGGCGAGUGAAGCGGUAACAGCUCAAAUUUGAAAUCUGGCCCUUUCAGGGUCCGAGUUGUAAUUUGUAGAGGAUGUUUCGGGUGUGGCUCCGGUCUAAGUUCCUUGGAACAGGACGUCAUAGAGGGUGAGAAUCCCGUAUGUGACUGGUUGCCUAUGCUCAUGUGAAACUCCUUCGACGAGUCGAGUUGUUUGGGAAUGCAGCUCAAAAUGGGUGGUAAAUUUCAUCUAAAGCUAAAUAUUGGCCAGAGACCGAUAGCGCACAAGUAGAGUGAUCGAAAGAUGAAAAGCACUUUGGAAAGAGAGUUAAACAGUACGUGAAAUUGUUGAAAGGGAAGCGCUUGCAACCAGACUUGCACUUGGUCGAUCAUCCUCUGUUCUCAGUGGUGCACUCGAUCUCGUUCAGGCCAGCAUCGGUUUUGGUGGUUAGAUAAAGGCCUUAGGAAUGUAGCUUCCCUCGGGGAGUGUUAUAGCCUAGGGUGCAAUGUAGCCUACCGGGACCGAGGACCGCGCUUCGGCUAGGAUGCUGGCGUAAUGGUUGUAAGCGACCCGUCUUGAAACACGGACCAAGGAGUCUAACAUCUAUGCGAGUGUUUGGGUGUUAAACCCAUACGCGUAAUGAAAGUGAACGUAGGUGUGAACCCUUAAGGGUGCAACAUCGACCGAUCUUGAUGUCUUCGGAUGGAUUUGAGUAAGAGCAUAGCUGUUGGGACCCGAAAGAUGGUGAACUAUGCCUGAAUAGGGUGAAGCCAGAGGAAACUCUGGUGGAGGCUCGCAGCGGUUCUGACGUGCAAAUCGAUCGUCAAAUUUGGGUAUAGGGGCGAAAGACUAAUCGAACCAUCUAGUAGCUGGUUC